Molecule: ribosomal RNA, 427 nt
Filed under: uncultured Desulfovibrionaceae bacterium
Lineage: Bacteria; Pseudomonadati; Thermodesulfobacteriota; Desulfovibrionia; Desulfovibrionales; Desulfovibrionaceae
Description: partial 16S ribosomal RNA
Rfam family: Bacterial small subunit ribosomal RNA
Source: RNAcentral
UGGGGAAUAUUGCGCAAUGGGCGAAAGCCUGACGCAGCGACGCCGCGUGAGGGAUGAAGGGCUUCGGUUCGUAAACCUCUGUCAGGAGAGAAGAAUUGCCAGGGUGCUAAUCAGCCCUGGUUUGACGGUACCUCCAAAGGAAGCACCGGCUAACUCCGUGCCAGCAGCCGCGGUAAUACGGAGGGUGCAAGCGUUAAUCGGAAUCACUGGGCGUAAAGCGCAUGUAGGCCGCUUUAUAAGUCAGAGGUGAAAUCCCACGGCUUACCCGUGGAAUAGCCUUUGAUACUGUAGAGCUUGAGUCUGUGAGAGGGUAGUGGAAUUCCAGGUGUAGGGGUGAAAUCCGUAGAUAUCUGGAGGAACAUCAGUGGCGAAGGCGACUACCUGGUGCAGUACUGACGCUGAGAUGCGAAAGCGUGGGGAUCAAACA